AUUGAACGCUGGCGGCAUGCCUUACACAUGCAAGUCGAACGGUAGAGGGGGCAACCCCUUGAGAGUGGCGAACGGGUGAGUAAUAUAUCGGAACGUGCCCAGUCGUGGGGAUAACGUAGCGAAAGUUACGCUAAUACCGCAUACGAUCUAAGGAUGAAAGCGGGGGAUCGCAAGACCUCGCGCGAUUGGAGCGGCCGAUAUCAGAUUAGGUAGUUGGUGGGGUAAAGGCUCACCAAGCCAACGAUCUGUAGCUGGUCUGAGAGGACGACCAGCCACACUGGGACUGAGACACGGCCCAGACUCCUACGGGAGGCAGCAGUGGGGAAUUUUGGACAAUGGGCGCAAGCCUGAUCCAGCAAUGCCGCGUGCAGGAUGAAGGCCUCG
This 384-nucleotide ribosomal RNA is filed under the name uncultured bacterium. Its description in RNAcentral is "bacterial SSU rRNA". It matches the Rfam family "Bacterial small subunit ribosomal RNA", at positions 30 to 419 of the family's 1533-position model. The record is from RNAcentral.